Molecule: ribosomal RNA, 482 nt
Filed under: uncultured bacterium
Lineage: Bacteria
Description: partial 16S ribosomal RNA
Rfam family: Bacterial small subunit ribosomal RNA
Source: RNAcentral
AUUGAACGCUGGCGGCAUGCUUUACACAUGCAAGUCGAACGGUAACAGGCCGCAAGGUGCUGACGAGUGGCGAACGGGUGGGUAAUGCAUCGGAACGUGCCCAGUCGUGGGGGAUAACUACUCGAAAGAGUAGCUAAUACCGCAUACGAUCUAUGGAUGAAAGCGGGGGACCGUAAGGCCUCGCGCGAUUGGAGCGGCCGAUGUCAGAUUAGGUAGUUGGUGGGGUAAAGGCUCACCAAGCCAACGAUCUGUAGCUGGUCUGAGAGGACGACCAGCCACACUGGGACUGAGACACGGCCCAGACUCCUACGGGAGGCAGCAGUGGGGAAUUUUGGACAAUGGGCGCAAGCCUGAUCCAGCAAUGCCGCGUGCAGGAAGAAGGCCUUCGGGUUGUAAACUGCUUUUGUACGGAACGAAACGGCUCUGGUUAAUACCCGGGGCUAAUGACGGUACCGUAAGAAUAAGCACCGGCUAACUACGUG